AUAUUUGUAAACUUCCAUAAAAAUCUAUGUCGCUAGAACAUGCACGCCAGACGGCUCCGCACGACUGCUCUGCGUGAAAAACUCCAAAUUGCACUAUUUUUCUCUUUUUUUCCUCCAACUGGUUUAUCUCUCAUCCAAUGCAACUUCAGACAUGUAAUGACUCGAAAAGGACUAGGAAGACUCGAUAAAGACUAGAAAACCAAUUAGAAAACAUAUAUACAAGAUGCCAAAAACACCAUAUAUCAAUUCCCCCAGACUUAGAUCCUUGUUUGUCCUCAAACAAUGUCAAGUAUCAAGAAUAGGGAGAAAGGUUUGAAAGUGUGGGAACUCUCCUAUUCUCAACAACCAUACUUUAACCACGAAUCUCUGAACCAUAUAAGCAGUAAAACUAGGACAACACACCCUUACUGAAACCCCACUGACUGUUGUUCAAGAUCGGCUCCAUACUCUACAUCUCAAACCUGAAAAAGCAACACUAUCGAGACAAAACUCCCUACACUCAUUUAAGAGUAGCGUGAGCUUCUCAUCACAGGCACUAUUCAGGGUAGGCGGGCUAGGUGUUAAACAUGCUAUUUAAUGGUGGAGUUAAAAGUGUUUAGGGGCUACCAUUUCAUUGUAGAGGAUGCAGGAUAUCACACAAAAUGGCAAGAGAGGAUAGAUCCAUUGAUGUCCACAGCGUCUACUUGUUUUUGCUCUAUCUGGAACGACUGCUCCAUUUUGGAUCAGCCAUCUGGAUGAUCAGAUCAUCUGCCUGCUCUCCAAUCUUUCAACUUGGUACCCACUCUUUUGCUUGACCUUCCCAGUUGCUCAUGUUUCUUUGUUUUCUUCCCCUUCUCCAUCACCUCAUUUUUUUUUUUUUUUAAGACUGAUAUGGUGAUGUGACGAAGAAGGAGGUAAUACAUGAUGUUUCUGAGUGCCACUGGUGGUUCUGAUUCUCCACCCCUGCUCUUGCGCAGUUCAUUGGUUAUGAGCGGUUGCUCCCUUAAUCUGCUUGUUCUCCUUUCUAACUGAAUUUCUGCAGCAGUAACAAGUAAAAGACUGUGUCGAUCCUUUCCUCUCCGACUUUUUUGCACAUAUCUGCACAUAUGACACUGAAAAACAAAUGCAUGAAGGUGGAAUAAAGGCUAAGGUGCAGGGUGGGAACUAGCUAAAGAUGAGCUAGCCACUCAGGAUCAGCAAGAUGGAUAAAAAGGAUAAGAAGUCCUGAGUGUGUUCUCGUUUCUCUGAUCUAAUUCCCAUAACAACAAAAAAUUCAGUCAAGAUUAGGUUCAAGUUAAAUGAAGCUACGUCUUUCUAGUGUAACCUCGACAAGUCGAAAUCUUCUGGAGAACCAAAUGAGAUAAUGUCAGGGUGUUCCAGGUCCACAUGUGUGUCUUUCGCCACUGCUAAGGUCACUGAAUAAGAUAACUAAAGCAUGAGGUGGUCAGUGGUCGACACAUAAUAAGGUCCUAAUUCCCACAAAAUUUUGACUGACUCGAUCAUAAAAACUGACUCAAACUAACUCAAACUAAGUUAAAAGUGUUUAGGGGCUACCAUUUCAUUGUAGAGGAUGCAGGAUAUCACACAAAAUGGCAAGAGAGGAUAGAUCCAUUGAUGUCCACAGCGUCUACUUGUUUUUGCUCUAUCUGGAACGACUGCUCCAUUUUGGAUCAGCCAUCUGGAUGAUCAGAUCAUCUGCCUGCUCUCCAAUCUUUCAACUUGGUACCCACUCUUUUGCUUGACCUUCCCAGUUGCUCAUGUUUCUUUGUUUUCUUCCCCUUCUCCAUCACCUCAUUUUUUUUUUUUUUUAAGACUGAUAUGGUGAUGUGACGAAGAAGGAGGUAAUACAUGAUGUUUCUGAGUGCCACUGGUGGUUCUGAUUCUCCACCCCUGCUCUUGCGCAGUUCAUUGGUUAUGAGCGGUUGCUCCCUUAAUCUGCUUGUUCUCCUUUCUAACUGAAUUUCUGCAGCAGUAACAAGUAAAAGACUGUGUCGAUCCUUUCCUCUCCGACUUUUUUGCACAUAUCUGCACAUAUGACACUGAAAAACAAAUGCAUGAAGGUGGAAUAAAGGCUAAGGUGCAGGGUGGGAACUAGCUAAAGAUGAGCUAGCCACUCAGGAUCAGCAAGAUGGAUAAAAAGGAUAAGAAGUCCUGAGUGUGUUCUCGUUUCUCUGAUCUAAUUCCCAUAACAACAAAAAAUUCAGUCAAGAUUAGGUUCAAGUUAAAUGAAGCUACGUCUUUCUAGUGUAACCUCGACAAGUCGAAAUCUUCUGGAGAACCAAAUGAGAUAAUGUCAGGGUGUUCCAGGUCCACAUGUGUGUCUUUCGCCACUGCUAAGGUCACUGAAUAAGAUAACUAAAGCAUGAGGUGGUCAGUGGUCGACACAUAAUAAGGUCCUAAUUCCCACAAAAUUUUGACUGACUCGAUCAUAAAAACUGACUCAAACUAACUCAAACUAACUCAAAAGAAAAACAAAAGAAAGAAACAAGUUAGUAAACGACGAAAACCCUCCCCCAGACUUACUUCACACCGUCUCUGGUGUGAAAAUAAAUCAGAAAGAAGGUGAAAACAAGAAUAAACAUUUUUUUGGUGAGAUACUUACCUGAGUGGAGCGGGUGCUCCACGAAAAUUUUGGGUGUUCUAUCGCAAGAUCUCCGCCUGGAGCAGUCUCUCCUUCAGCAACCCAGAAUUUUUAAGUAUCUCGGAUUUUUCUGCUUUUUGACCUGAGACUCAAUAAACUAAAACGAAAAAUAAGCAAACAAAAACAAAACCAACUUAUAUUUACACUUACCAGUGGGUUGCCUCUCACCAAACGCUUGGUUUAAGUCACUAGCUUGACUUGGUGACAGGGAUCAGUCAGGUUGAGCAUGAGGGCUUGUUCCAAAACAAGCUCCACAAUCAGACAUGUUCAGCUUCAAAACUCUUCUCAAUAACCCUUUCACAACAGCUUCUCCUUUCUCUUUCAGCUCAUGUGUGAGAAUUACUCUGACCUUAGAGAAAGGUUUAGAGGUACCCUUGCAUUUUACCUCAUACUCAAUGGAUUUCUCAUCACACAACCGAGGUAUCAAAGUCAUCAUAGGGUCACCCUUGACCCUUUUCUUCUGGACUUUUUCAUUCAACCUUGCAUUCCCACUGAGUUUCUUGGUAUCAGUGUGAGGAUCUCCAUCUAUGACUUCUCUGAUCUCACCCUUUUUACCAAGCUCCUUCUUAGGAACAAUUUCCAGCUGUUCUCCACUAACCACUGAGAUGCAAGAGGCGUAACGGAUUUGUGAUCUGGUUCGGACAGCCUUGUAGAAAACCUUCUUGUUGAUGUUGGAGAAGUAGACUCUCUUAUUAGGCAUGUCGACGACUGCUCCAACUGUAGCCAUAAAUGACCUUCCAAAGUUCAAAGGCAUCUCAUGAUCCUUGCUCAUCUUAACAACCUGAAAUUCGGUAUGGAGAAUACAGUUCCCAACUUGGACAGGAUGGUUGCGAAUUGUGCCAUAAGGGACUGUCCUGGAAGAGUUUGAAAAAACCAGUUUCACCUAUUCAGCUCAUGUGUGAGAAUUACUCUGACCUUAGAGAAAGGUUUAGAGGUACCCUUGCAUUUUACCUCAUACUCAAUGGAUUUCUCAUCACACAACCGAGGUAUCAAAGUCAUCAUAGGGUCACCCUUGACCCUUUUCUUCUGGACUUUUUCAUUCAACCUUGCAUUCCCACUGAGUUUCUUGGUAUCAGUGUGAGGAUCUCCAUCUAUGACUUCUCUGAUCUCACCCUUUUUACCAAGCUCCUUCUUAGGAACAAUUUCCAGCUGUUCUCCACUAACCACUGAGAUGCAAGAGGCGUAACGGAUUUGUGAUCUGGUUCACACCAUAUAUCAAUUCCCCCAGACUUAGAUCCUUGUUUGUCCUCAAACAAUGUCAAGUAUCAAGAAUAGGGAGAAAGGUUUGAAAGUGUGGGAACUCUCCUAUUCUCAACAACCAUACUUUAACCACGAAUCUCUGAACCAUAUAAGCAGUAAAACUAGGACAACACACCCUUACUGAAACCCCACUGACUGUUGUUCAAGAUCGGCUCCAUACUCUACAUCUCAAACCUGAAAAAGCAACACUAUCGAGACAAAACUCCCUACACUCAUUUAAGAGUAGCGUGAGCUUCUCAUCACAGGCACUAUUCAGGGUAGGCGGGC
RNAcentral lists this long non-coding RNA (4147 nucleotides) under Brassica napus (rape). Its description in RNAcentral is "long non-coding RNA (BNAP_LNC010937)". The record is from RNAcentral. Lineage: Eukaryota; Viridiplantae; Streptophyta; Magnoliopsida; Brassicales; Brassicaceae.